This 468-nucleotide ribosomal RNA is filed under the name uncultured bacterium. RNAcentral's name for it is "partial 16S ribosomal RNA". It matches the Rfam family "Bacterial small subunit ribosomal RNA", at positions 28 to 507 of the family's 1533-position model. The record is from RNAcentral.
GACGAACGCUGGCGGCGUGCUUAACACAUGCAAGUCGAACGGCAAGGCCCUGCUUUUGUGGUGUGCUCGAGUGGCGAACGGGUGAGUAACACGUGAGUAACCUGCCCUUGACUUUGGUAUAACUUCAGGAAACUGGGGCUAAUACCGGAUAGGAGCUCCUGCUGCAUGGUGGGGGUUGGAAAGUUUCGGCGGUUGGGGAUGGACUCGCGGCUUAUCAGCUUGUUGGUGGGGUAGUGGCUUACCAAGGCUUUGACGGGUAGCCGGCCUGAGAGGGUGACCGGGCACAUGGGGACUGAGAGAGGGCCCAGACGCGUACGGGAGGCAGCAGGGGGGAAUAUUGCACAAUGGGCGGAAGCCUGAUGCAGAAACGCCGCGGGCGGGAUGACGGCCUGCGGGUUGUAAACCGCUUUCGCCUGUGACGAAGCGGGAGUGACGGUAAUGGGUAAAGAAGCACCGGCUAACUACGUG